This 339-nucleotide ribosomal RNA is filed under the name Triticum aestivum (bread wheat). RNAcentral's name for it is "partial small subunit ribosomal RNA". Lineage: Eukaryota; Viridiplantae; Streptophyta; Magnoliopsida; Poales; Poaceae. The record is from RNAcentral.
CUGAAGUUCACCUAUGUGGUGGCUGGCUAGGAAGGGUCAUCACAUGAUGCUAACAUACUCAGUGACAGCAUCAGUCACCCUGAUGGCAUCAACAUCCCUGAUGGCAAGUUCUACCUAGGAGAUGCUGGCUAUGCAUGUCGCCCAGGUGUUCUUCCACCCAUAAGAAAAACCAGGUACCAUCUGAAUGAGUUCUCUGGUAGGAACUACCCUAGGACUCCACAGGAGCUGUUCAAUAUCAGACACUCCAGCCUCAGAGUAACGGCUGAGAGGGCAUUUGGAGCUCUCAAGAACAGGUUCAAGAUCCUGGAUCAGAAGCUAUUACAUCCUUACCCUACCUAG